CGCGCACACACACCGCGGGGAGUCCAAACCUCGCUGGCUCCACUAGCUGGCUGGACCCGCCCGCUCAGCGCCUUGCGCGCCCUUGGCCCGCCAGAAGGCCCCGGCGUCAGAGGGCUCCGGCGCCUGCCUCCGCCGUGCGUACUCGGGGUGGCCCUGGCCCCAGAAGGGCCGUCAGCUGAAUUUUCCUGGACUAGGUGAGCGCCUUCCGAAAUCCGCCAGGCGGGAUCCUUUUUAGGGCCGAGAAAAAGUUGCAAGUAGCAGCCCAAUUCCCUGCUGCCUCUUUCUUCAGUAAAGCUAGCACCUUCAGGGCCCAGACAUUUGCCCACCUUCCCUCUCCUCUUCUGGAGAUAAUUUGGCCAAGUCACUUCCCUAUGCACAGCUGCGGUUUCCCGCUCGGGUUCACUGUUUAUUUGGAAUUUCUUUAAAACCAGCGGCGCCAAAUUGCCCUCGCUCUGCGUCUUCUCUGGGCGGGCCUCCGCCCAGGCCUUUCGGAGCUUCCAGAAGGGCGCAGUCGGGCAAGGAAGGCGCGCGCGAGAGGCCUGGGCCUAGCUGGGACGCGUCCUUCGAUCCUUCGCUCGAUUUCCCACGCCUGGUUCCCCCCACUGAUUGAGCUCCGGCCUUCACCGCGGGCCACCUCACUUCGGGCUCCGACCCAGUGGCGUCUCAUUAGGCGGAAGCCAGGGGGAAUCGGGAUGUAGAUCCCCCGGAGAGGACGUCUGGACCCAUUUCCACCCUCAUCAGACCUCGAGUUCCUUAUCUAUUGUCUGAAAUGCCCUCACAGGCCCGAGCUCAUUGGCGGGAAACAUCCUUCCCAGAACCUGAACUCUCUCUCCCAACGGUCCAUGACUGCGGCCACGGUGGAUGCGGGUCUGUUGGCCUCUUUCAUCCCUUGGAGCUCGCCUUGCAAUUUGCAGCUGCGGCAGCUGCUCGGCAGAGGACAGGAUGGUUUUGAACAACUCGGUGGUGUUGAUGAUGGACAGCUAUCUCUGUAUAAGGAGGCUUUGGCUGUGGGCCUGGCAAAAUGAUGGUCAACCCAUUCAUUCAACAGAUGUUUGCAGAGCACCUGCUAUGCUCCAGAAUGUGGGCCUGAAUGAGACGGGCAAGACCUCUGCCAACAUAGACCUUACAGCCUCGUCGGAGAGACAACCAAUGAACAGGUAAACACAAAGAUAAGCAUUUCCCAGAAUGUUUACAUUCGAAGGUCAGUGGUGGCAGCUGAAUUUUAUAU
Molecule: long non-coding RNA, 1228 nt
Filed under: Ursus maritimus (polar bear)
Lineage: Eukaryota; Metazoa; Chordata; Mammalia; Carnivora; Ursidae
Description: lncRNA (ENSUMAG00000013281.1)
Source: RNAcentral